RNAcentral lists this unclassified non-coding RNA (365 nucleotides) under uncultured Chloroflexaceae bacterium. RNAcentral's name for it is "contains 16S-23S intergenic spacer region". The record is from RNAcentral. Lineage: Bacteria; Bacillati; Chloroflexota; Chloroflexia; Chloroflexales; Chloroflexaceae.
UCCGGCCAAAAGCCGGCAGUCUCGCCAGACACGUAUAACUGGCGACGAGGGUUGCGCUCGUUGCGGGACUUAACCCAACAUCUCACGACACGAGCUGACGACAACCAUGCAGCACCUGUGCAUCACCCUCGAAGGCGACCGCCUUUCAGCGGCUUGCAGAUGCAUGUCAAACCUGGGUAAGGUUCUUCGCGUUGCGUCGAAUUAAACCACACGCUCCGCUGCUUGUGCGGGCCCCCGUCAAUUCCUUUGAGUUUUAAGCUUGCGCUCGUACUCCCCAGGCGGCCGGCUUACCGCGUGAGCUGAGGCACCCAGGACCCUGAACGGGUCCCAGACACCGAGCCGGCAUCGUUUACGGCGUGGACUAC